UGAGGCAGGAGAAUCGCUUGAACCCGGGAGAUGGAGGUUGCAGUGAGCCGAGAUUGCGCCACUGCAUUCCAGCUCUGGGCGACAAAGCAAGACUCUGUCUCGGA
This 104-nucleotide microRNA precursor is filed under the name Chlorocebus sabaeus (green monkey). RNAcentral's name for it is "miRNA (ENSCSAG00000022905.1)". Lineage: Eukaryota; Metazoa; Chordata; Mammalia; Primates; Cercopithecidae. The record is from RNAcentral.